This 253-nucleotide ribosomal RNA is filed under the name uncultured bacterium. RNAcentral's name for it is "partial 16S ribosomal RNA". It matches the Rfam family "Bacterial small subunit ribosomal RNA", at positions 524 to 776 of the family's 1533-position model. The record is from RNAcentral.
UCCGCAGGGGGCUAGCGUUGCUCGGACUUACUGGGCGUACAGGGAGCGUAGGCGGGUUAUCAAGUUGGGGGUGAAAGCCCGGGGCUCAACCUCGGAAUUGCCUUCAAAACUGAUAACCUGGAGUAUGGAAGAGGUAAGUGGAACUCCGAGUGUAGAGGUGAAAUUCGUAGAUAUUCGGAAGAACACCAGUGGCGAAGGCGACUUACUGGUCCAUUACUGACGCUGAGGCUCGAAAGCGUGGGGAGCAAACAGG